RNAcentral lists this non-coding RNA (30 nucleotides) under Mus musculus (house mouse). Lineage: Eukaryota; Metazoa; Chordata; Mammalia; Rodentia; Muridae. The record is from RNAcentral.
UGAGGUUAUAAUAUUCCUAGAGAGCCAGAU